Molecule: long non-coding RNA, 1167 nt
Filed under: Cairina moschata (Muscovy duck)
Lineage: Eukaryota; Metazoa; Chordata; Aves; Anseriformes; Anatidae
Description: domestica (muscovy Duck (domestic type)) lncRNA (ENSCMMG00000012322.1)
Source: RNAcentral
GGGAUACAGUUAAGAUGUGGUGGCAAGAGAACUGAAUGUCUCAGAAAAUGUUAUAAAAAUUAAAUUUCAACCAGGGAGCUGUUGUCAGAAAUUUGGUAUUUUAUUUUACCACCAAUCCUAAAAAAAUUGGUUUGCCACUUAUAUUUCCUAAAAAAAAAAAAAAAUAAAUAGAUAGAUAAGCAAACAGCAACAACAACCAACUGGAUACUUACAUUUUUAAUUACUUCCUUGUUUCAGUACCUCAAUCAUACCUCAGUACAUUUUAAGAGAUUGAAGUACUUAGAAGCUAUAAAACCAUUAUUAUUAUUAUUAUUAUUAUUUUAUUAUUAUUGCUCUUAUGAAUGCUAUGUCUGUCAUGAAAAAGCUAAGUUCAGUGUAUGUGCUAUUAGUUGGAGUUUUCUGUGAUUUUGCCACUGUAGCUCCCACAUGUGUGGAGUACUAGAUCUCAUGGCUUGGUUAUUUUAUACCUCAGGGUUCUUAACCAGGGCACAGGCAACAAGUUUCCAACCACCAGCUGUGAUGCAUUGGUUGUGAUGGUGCUAGAUGUGUAGCUCCUACACAGUCUGGUGGUCAUGGAUGUCAUGUGUUGUGGUUUCCUCCUUUGUCCACGCCAGGAAAGCCUGCUCUCCUGCCAUGUGACUCCUCUGUUAUGUAACUCUAAACCACAACUGUGAGGAUGAGCAAACACUGACAAGGCUCUAUGGUUUGCAGACAGAUUCAACUAUGUCCUUCAAGGGAGUCUUCAUUUAGGUGAGGCCAUGAAGACCAGAUUGCCAUCACAAGGAAAAAUUUGAGAUUAUCAAGUUGCUGCUCUGCUGAAAGCCAGGGGAAGACAUGCUUUUGCCUUUUUAUAAUGGUUUGGGGCCUCCAUACUGAUCUCUUGGUACUGUCUCUCCCCAUCUCUAAAAGAAGUCCAUGAUGUCAGCUACAUUACAGACUUGUGUUUUUUUUGUUGUUUUUUUUUUGUUUGUUUGUUUUUUGUUCAGACCCCAGAUUUCACAUUCAUUUUCUGGAUAUGUCAUUUCUAGCACCUGUGUGAGGGAGGGAAGUAUCCCUGCUUCUGCCGAGAAGGGGAGGGGAAGUGUGAAUGGAAAGAUGGCUUCCAGCAAAUGUUCCCAAGAAAAACAGGCUUUGCUUUCAAUACCACAGAUUUGCAGAAUUGAAUGA